AACGAACGCUGGCGGCGCGCCUAAUACAUGCAAGUCGAACGAGAAUGUGUAGCAAUACACAUGUAAAGUGGCGAACGGGUGAGGAAUACAUAGGUAACCUACCCUCGAGUGGGGAAUAACUAGCCGAAAGGUUAGCUAAUACCGCGUACGCUCCCCGGACUACGGUUCGGGGAGGAAAGCGAUACCGUGGGUAUCGCGCUCUUGGAUGGGCUUAUGUCCUAUCAGCUUGUUGGUGAGGUAAUGGCUCACCAAGGCUUCGACGGGUAGCUGGUCUGAGAGGACGAUCAGCCACACUGGCACUGCGACACGGGCCAGACUCCUACGGGAGGCAGCAGUAAGGAAUAUUGCGCAAUGGGCGACAGCCUGACGCAGCGACGCCGCGUGGGGGACGAAGGUCUUCGGAUUGUAAACCCCUUUCGGGAGGGAAGAUGGGAUGGGUAACCAUUCGGACGGUACCUCCAGAAGAAGCCACGGCUAACUUCGUGCCAGCAGCCGCGGUAAUACGAAGGUGGCAAGCGUUGUUCGGAUUUACUGGGCGUACAGGGAGCGUAGGCGGUUCAGUAAGCCCUUUGUGAAAUCUCCAGGCUUAACCUGGAACAGCCGGAGGGGACUGCUGAGCUAGAGGAUGGGAGAGGAGCGCGGAAUUCCCGGUGUAGCGGUGAAAUGCGUAGAG
Molecule: ribosomal RNA, 673 nt
Filed under: uncultured Nitrospira sp.
Lineage: Bacteria; Pseudomonadati; Nitrospirota; Nitrospiria; Nitrospirales; Nitrospiraceae
Description: bacterial SSU rRNA
Rfam family: Bacterial small subunit ribosomal RNA
Source: RNAcentral